This 276-nucleotide ribosomal RNA is filed under the name Triticum aestivum (bread wheat). RNAcentral describes it as "partial small subunit ribosomal RNA". The record is from RNAcentral. Lineage: Eukaryota; Viridiplantae; Streptophyta; Magnoliopsida; Poales; Poaceae.
AUGUAUAUCCAGUUGAUAGGAUUGGGUGGACUUCUUAAGACACCUAGCAUCAAAAUUAGACGUGUACUGUGCCUGGUCAUCGCUAAUUCAUAUGAUGCAGAGCAGGAUGCCUUUAUCAUCAAUGGGAGACCAUGUAGGAUCACACUAGAAAAUGUAGCGCAUAUAACAGGCAUGCCCUGCCAUGGGAAGAAGCACGUCCCUUCAAAUCUUGAUGAUAAUAUGGAGUUGUGGAAGAAACUGAAAGACCGUAAUGACACCAGAAUAACUUUCAAAUGA